AUUGAACGCUGGCGGCAUGCCUUACACAUGCAAGUCGAACGGCAGCGGGCCUUCGGGUGCCGGCGAGUGGCGAACGGGUGAGUAAUGCAUCGGAACGUGCCAUUGAGUGGGGGGAUAACGUAGCGAAAGUUACGCUAAUACCGCAUAUUCUGUGAGCAGGAAAGAGGGGGAUCGCAAGACCUCUUGCUUUAGGAGCGGCCGAUGUCGGAUUAGCUAGUUGGUGAGGUAAAGGCUCACCAAGGCGACGAUCCGUAGCGGGUCUGAGAGGAUGAUCCGCCACACUGGGACUGAGACACGGCCCAGACUCCUACGGGAGGCAGCAGUGGGGAAUUUUGGACAAUGGGCGCAAGCCUGAUCCAGCCAUGCCGCGUGAGUGAAGAAGGCCUGGGUUGGUUAAAGACGUCUUUCGGUCCGGGAACGGAAAUACGCAUGGUAAUACCUCGUGUGGAUGACGGUACCGGAAGUAAGAAG
Molecule: ribosomal RNA, 471 nt
Filed under: uncultured bacterium
Lineage: Bacteria
Description: bacterial SSU rRNA
Rfam family: Bacterial small subunit ribosomal RNA
Source: RNAcentral